This 468-nucleotide ribosomal RNA is filed under the name uncultured bacterium. RNAcentral describes it as "partial 16S ribosomal RNA". It matches the Rfam family "Bacterial small subunit ribosomal RNA", at positions 28 to 507 of the family's 1533-position model. The record is from RNAcentral.
GACGUACGCUGGCGGCGUGCUUAACACAUGCAAGUCGAACGGAAAGGCCCUGCUUUUGUGGGGUGCUCGAGUGGCGAACGGGUGAGUAACACGUGAGUAACCUGCCCUUGACUUUGGGAUAACUUCAGGAAACUGGGGCUAAUACCGGAUAGGAGCUCCUGCUGCAUGGUGGGGGUUGGAAAGUUUCGGCGGUUGGGGAUGGACUCGCGGCUUAUCAGCUUGUUGGUGGGGUAGUGGCUUACCAAGGCUUUGACGGGUAGCCGGCCUGAGAGGGUGACCGGCCACAUUGGGACGGAGAUACGGCCCAGACUCCUACGGGAGGCAGCAGUGGGGAAUAUUGAGCAAUGGGCGGAAGCCUGAGGCAGCAACGCCGCGUGCGGGAUGACGGCCUUCGGGUUGUAAACCGCUUUCGCCUGUGACGAAGCGUGAGUGACGGUAAUGGGUAAAGAAGCACAGGCUGGCUACGUG